This 594-nucleotide long non-coding RNA is filed under the name Gossypium raimondii (Peruvian cotton). Its description in RNAcentral is "long non-coding RNA (GRAI_LNC003126)". The record is from RNAcentral. Lineage: Eukaryota; Viridiplantae; Streptophyta; Magnoliopsida; Malvales; Malvaceae.
AGAAGGACCAUGAUUUCCAGCUUGGCUAACUCAUUCCCUGGACAUGAAUGUGUUCCAUUGCCAAAUGGCAUAAAUGUAUUGGGUUUUGGAACAACCUGUUCAAUCAUUGAGCAAAAGUAUGCUUUAGGUGAUUGCUACUUUCUCUCUCUCUUUUUUUUUUAAUUUAAAAAAAAAAUUGAAAACAACAAAACUCUGCAUAAGUCUACCUCAAAUCUUGAAGGAUCAAACUUUUCAGGAUCUGGGAAGAUUUCUGGGCUGUGAUGAAUGUUUCUAAAAAGUGGUAAAACUUUCCAUCCUUUUGGUAUAAGAUACCCUGUUUAAUAUUUUUCACACCAAAAAGACAAGUUAGGCUAUUUGAACCAAAAAGGCAAAGGUAGUAGCAUUAUACUCUUAACAGUUAUAUAGAUUGAAUUAUCUGUAUUGAAAUGUGGACCAAUCAAGAUUUCAAAUCAAAUGAAAUCUUUUAUCACUAAAGAGUGACUUAGUAUUUGUAUAUAUAUUGACAGAGGUUGUGGUGCAACUGACCUUCAUAUUCAACAUCAGCCACUGCUUCUCUGAAGGUAAAAGAUAAAAUCGAAGCAACCCUAAGUGUCU